UAAAUUUAUUUAAAUAUAAUCAAAUAAUAACGAGAUAUCUCUAAAAUGUCAGCUGAAAUGUUUGCAUUAAUUUGGUGGAUACACUCAAAAAAAUCCAGUGUGAUUCCUUACAAUGAAAUUAACUUUUCCGCAAAAAAAAAGCUUCGGUUCUACAGAAAAAGAAAUUUCACUCUGUUGAAAUUUUGAGGACAAGUGACAAAGCUUGGCUUGAGUCGUUAGAAGUAGAUGGUGAUGGAAACGUUUGUGUUCCGAAAGAUAAAAAACACAAGAGAAACCUGAGGGCUCGGGAAAUAAUUCUCGUAAAAGUGAGUCAUUUGAGGGUAAAAGUUCACAGAGGAGUUCCCAAUGUUUUAAUUGUCCUUUGUAUAACUUAAAAAAUGCUGAAUCUCAACGUUACAUUGGAUUCUUGCAAGAUGUCGUCGGAUUCCUCAAAGUUCAUGGUUGUUCUUCAUCUUCAUCCUCUAAAACGUUUGUUGAACGAUUCUCCGGCAUCUUGUCCUUCAGCGAGUGGUUCUUCUAAGAUGCCAUGGACUUUAUCGGGGCCUCGAAAGGAAACAAAUGAUAGAUUUUGGGUGAAAAAUAAUCUAAAUGCAUAAUUUUUUAAUAAAUAGGUUGAAUUGCAUCCAAUGAGUGAUGUGUAUAUUUAAUCAUGCGAGUUGGAAUACCUCAAAACCAAAUACAUUUAUGACUCGAAAGAAAUGUCGAGACAGAUUUUCAAGAAAGUUAUUGGGACAGACAAUCUACGAAAAAUGAGCCGCAUGGGUGGAAACGGGUGGACACAGUUGCCAAAUGAUAUAUUUAUUCACUGCUGUUUACGGUAGAGUUAAUUUGCAUCACAGAUGCCAUCAGUGUUCACAAUAAUUAAAUGCUCUUUUCGAAAAACUAUUGCCAGAUACUAAAAUAAUACAUACAAUAAUUUAAAUAAUAUAUGUUUCAGGUUUUAUUUCAAAGAAUGCUCGGCCAAA
This is a long non-coding RNA of Microplitis demolitor, 965 nucleotides long. RefSeq lists it as uncharacterized. Lineage: Eukaryota; Metazoa; Arthropoda; Insecta; Hymenoptera; Braconidae. The record is from RefSeq and is a predicted model, not a curated record. The transcript has 3 exons.